GAUGAACGCUAGCGAUAGGCUUAACACAUGCAAGUCGAGGGGCAGCGAGGGUAGCAAUACCUGUCGGCGACCGGCGCACGGGUGAGUAACGCGUAUGUAACCUGCCCGCAACAGGGGGAUAACCCGGCGAAAGUCGGACUAAUACCGCAUAAAACAGGGGUCCCGCAUGGGAAUAUUUGUUAAAGAUUUAUCGGUUGCGGAUGGGCAUGCGUACCAUUAGGUAGUUGGUGAGGUAACGGCUCACCAAGCCUUCGAUGGUUAGGGGUUCUGAGAGGAAGGUCCCCCACACUGGUACUGAGACACGGACCAGACUCCUACGGGAGGUAGCAGUGAGGAAUAUUGGUCAAUGGGCGAGAGCCUGAACCAGCCAAGUCGCGUGAAGGAUGACUGCCCUAUGGGUUGUAAACUUCUUUUACAAGGGAAUAAAAUGAGAUACGUGUAUUUUAUUGCAUGUACCUUGGGAAUAAGCAUCGGCUAACUCCGUG
This 485-nucleotide ribosomal RNA is filed under the name uncultured bacterium. RNAcentral's name for it is "partial 16S ribosomal RNA". It matches the Rfam family "Bacterial small subunit ribosomal RNA", at positions 28 to 507 of the family's 1533-position model. The record is from RNAcentral.